Molecule: ribosomal RNA, 253 nt
Filed under: uncultured bacterium
Lineage: Bacteria
Description: partial 16S ribosomal RNA
Rfam family: Bacterial small subunit ribosomal RNA
Source: RNAcentral
UACAGAGGGUGCAAGCGUUAAUCGGAAUUACUGGGCGUAAAGCGCACGCAGGCGGUUGGUUAAGUCAGAUGUGAAAGCCCCGGGCUCAACCUGGGAAUUGCAUUUGAAACUGGGGAACUAGAGUGUGUGAGAGGGGGGUAGAAUUCCAAGUGUAGCGGUGAAAUGCGUAGAGAUUUGGAGGAAUACCAGUGGCGAAGGCGGCCCCCUGGCACAACACUGACGCUCAGGUGCGAAAGCGUGGGGAGCAAACAGG